RNAcentral lists this ribosomal RNA (468 nucleotides) under uncultured bacterium. Its description in RNAcentral is "partial 16S ribosomal RNA". It matches the Rfam family "Bacterial small subunit ribosomal RNA", at positions 28 to 507 of the family's 1533-position model. The record is from RNAcentral.
GACGAACGCUGGCGGCGUGCUUAACACAUGCAAGUCGAACGGAAAGGCCCUGCUUUUGUGGGGUGCUCGAGUGGCGAACGGGUGGGUAACACGUGAGUAACCUGCCCUUGACUUUGGGAUAACUUCAGGAAACUGGGGCUAAUACCGGAUAGGAGCUCCUGCUGCAUGGUGGGGGUUGGAAAGUUUCGGCGGUUGGGGAUGGACUCACGGCUUAUCAGCUUGUUGGUGGGGUAGUGGCUUACCAAGGCUUUGACGGGUAGCCGGCCUGAGAGGGUGACCGGCCACAUUGGGACUGAGAUACGGCCCAGACUCCUACGGGAGGCAGCAGUGGGGAAUAUUGCACAAUGGGCGGAAGCCUGAUGCAGCAACGCCGCGUGCGGGAUGACGGCCUUCGGGUUGUAAACCGCUUUCGCCUGUGACGAAGCGUGAGUGACGGUAAUGGGUAAAGAAGCACCGGCUAACUACGUG